Molecule: ribosomal RNA, 257 nt
Filed under: uncultured bacterium
Lineage: Bacteria
Description: partial 16S ribosomal RNA
Rfam family: Bacterial small subunit ribosomal RNA
Source: RNAcentral
CCGGCGCACGGGUGAGUAACACGUAUGCAACCUGCCCGUCUCAGGGGGAUAAUCGUCGGAAACGGCGUCUAAUACCCCGUAUGAAGCUGGACGGCAUCGUCUGGUUUUGAAAGAAUAUCGGAGACGGAUGGGCAUGCGGCGCAUUAGCUAGUUGGCUGGGUAACGGCCCACCAAGGCGACGAUGCGUAGGGGUUCUGAGAGGAAGGUCCCCCACACUGGUACUGAGACACGGACCAGACUCCUACGGGAGGCAGCAG